GGGGUGCACCAGGCGCGAAAACUUUACAAUGCUGGCAACAGCGAUAAGGGGACCUCGAGUGCCAGGUUACAAAUCUGGCUGUCGUGAUGCCUAAAAAGCAUUGCAUAGCAAGGGCCGGGCAAGACCGGUGCCAGCCGCCGCGGUAACACCGGCGGCUCGAGUGGUAACCGUUAUUAUUGGGUCUAAAGGGUCUGUAGCCGGCCGGAUAAGUCUCUUGGGAAAUCCAGCAGCUCAACUGUUGGGCUUUCAGGAGAUACUGUCUGGCUCGAGGCCGGGAGAGGUGAGAGGUACUUCAGGGGUAGGGGUGAAAUCUUGUAAUCCUUGAAGGACCACCAGUGGCGAAGGCGUCUCACCAGAACGGACCUGACGGCAAGGGACGAAAGCUAGGGGCACGAACCGGAUUAGAUACCCGGGUAGUCCUAGCCGUAAACGAUACUCGCUAGGUGUCGGCCACGGUGCGACCGUUGUCGGUGCCGUAGGGAAGCCGUGAAGCGAGCCACCUGGGAAGUACGGCCGCAAGGCUGAAACUUAAAGGAAUUGGCGGGGAGCACAAGGGCGAAUUCGCGG
This 567-nucleotide ribosomal RNA is filed under the name uncultured archaeon. RNAcentral's name for it is "bacterial SSU rRNA". It matches the Rfam family "Archaeal small subunit ribosomal RNA", at positions 327 to 900 of the family's 1478-position model. The record is from RNAcentral.